AGACCCGAAACCCGGUGAUCUAGCCAUGGGCAGGUUGAAGGUUGGGUAACACUAACUGGAGGACCGAACCGACUAAUGUUGAAAAAUUAGCGGAUGACCUGUGGCUGGGGGUGAAAGGCCAAUCAAACCGGGAGAUAGCUGGUUCUCCCCGAAAGCUAUUUAGGUAGCGCCUCGUGAAUUCAUCUCCGGGGGUAGAGCACUGUUUCGGCUAGGGGGCCAUCCCGGCUUACCAACCCGAUGCAAACUGCGAAUACCGGAGAAUGUUAUCACGGGAGACACACGGCGGGUGCUAACGUCCGUCGUGAAGAGGGAAACAACCCAGACCGCCAGCUAAGGUCCCAAAGUCAUGGUUAAGUGGGAAACGAUGUGGGAAGGC
RNAcentral lists this ribosomal RNA (376 nucleotides) under Salmonella enterica. RNAcentral describes it as "partial 23S ribosomal RNA". It matches the Rfam family "Bacterial large subunit ribosomal RNA", at positions 711 to 1084 of the family's 2925-position model. The record is from RNAcentral. Lineage: Bacteria; Pseudomonadati; Pseudomonadota; Gammaproteobacteria; Enterobacterales; Enterobacteriaceae.